Molecule: ribosomal RNA, 407 nt
Filed under: uncultured bacterium
Lineage: Bacteria
Description: partial 16S ribosomal RNA
Rfam family: Bacterial small subunit ribosomal RNA
Source: RNAcentral
AUUGAACGCUGGCGGCAGGCCUAACACAUGCAAGUAGGACGCAGUUGCGAACGGGUGAGUAACGCGUAGGUAACUACCUAUUAGAGGGGGAUAACUAUUGGAAACGAUAGCUAAUACCGCAUACUAGUAGAUGGACCUGCGUUGUAUUAGCUAGUGGGUAGGGUAAUGGCCUACCUAGGCAACGAUACAUAGCCGAGCUGAUAGGGGGAUCGGCCCAACUGGGGCUGGGACACGGCCCAGACUACUACGGGAGGCAGCAGUAGGGAAUCUUCGGCAAUGGGGGGAAGCCUGACCGAGCAACGCCGCGUGAGUGAAGAAGGUUUUCGGAUCGUAAAGCUCUGUUGUUAAGGAAGCGGUACUUAACCAGAAAGGGACGGCUAACUACGUGCCAGCAGCCGCGGUAAUAC